UCUGGAGAAGGAAAUGGGGGGAACGAGAYCAGCCAUUCUGCAAUUGCCCUUUCAAGAUUCAAAGAAAGCAGCAUACCAAAAGAAGAGGAGGCUGGAAUUUGGGACUUCUGAGCUCUAAAAUUCUGGAAGGCAGGAAGAAGGAGAGGUGCCUCAGCAUCAAAAUCUGUGACUUACCCCAGGGUGAGCGCUUCUCAUGCUUGGAGUUCCCUGAAUUUCCACGCUUCACCAUUUUGUAGGAGAUGAAGUGAGGAAAGCAGACAUCCUGAAGACAACAAAGAYUGUAGGGGUCUUCCAGGAGGAGAGGCAUAAGGAAAAACUUCUGGGUUGAACAUGGAAGACACAUCCCAACCAGGACUGAGCAAACGGAUGGGACCGUCAUUGCCU
Molecule: long non-coding RNA, 384 nt
Organism: Malurus melanocephalus (red-backed fairy wren)
Lineage: Eukaryota; Metazoa; Chordata; Aves; Passeriformes; Maluridae
Exons: 4
Source: RefSeq, a predicted model, not a curated record